RNAcentral lists this ribosomal RNA (330 nucleotides) under Paravaejovis waeringi. Its description in RNAcentral is "partial 12S ribosomal RNA". Lineage: Eukaryota; Metazoa; Arthropoda; Arachnida; Scorpiones; Vaejovidae. The record is from RNAcentral.
UAAAACUUAUAAAAUUAGGUAGUAAAGAAAUUUCUGAAACCUAAAGAAUUUGGCGGUAUUUUAAAUAAUUGGAGGAACCUGUUAUUUAAUUGACAAUCCACAACAUAUCUUACCUAGAUUUUAUUUGUAUAUCGUCGUUUUGAUAAUAUUUAAAAAUAAUAAUCAAUUUUAAUAAAUUUUUUAAAUUCAGAUCAAGAUGCAGUAUAUUUAGGUUAUAAUGGGUUACAAUAUACUUAUAUAUAAUGAAUGUAAAAUUGAAAAUAUAUUGAAGGUGGAUUCAAAAGUAAAAUUAAAUUAAAAAGUUAAUUUGAUUGAUAAUUUAAAAUAUGC